This 73-nucleotide transfer RNA is filed under the name Stegodyphus mimosarum. It matches the Rfam family "tRNA". Rfam says of the family: Transfer RNA (tRNA) molecules are approximately 80 nucleotides in length. Their secondary structure includes four short double-helical elements and three loops (D, anti-codon, and T loops). The record is from Rfam by way of RNAcentral. Lineage: Eukaryota; Metazoa; Arthropoda; Arachnida; Araneae; Eresidae.
GCCUUCGUGGUGUAAUGGUCAGCACACUGAGCCGGUAUUUCAGAGGUCCGUGGUUCGAUCCCCGCCGAAGGAA